This 258-nucleotide ribosomal RNA is filed under the name uncultured bacterium. Its description in RNAcentral is "partial 16S ribosomal RNA". It matches the Rfam family "Bacterial small subunit ribosomal RNA", at positions 335 to 586 of the family's 1533-position model. The record is from RNAcentral.
UGCCUACGGGGCGCAGCAGUAGGGAAUCUUCCACAAUGGACGAAAGUCUGAUGGAGCAACGCCGCGUGAGUGAAGAAGGGUUUCGGCUCGUAAAGCUCUGUUGGUAGUGAAGAAAGAUAGAGGUAGUAACUGGCCUUUAUUUGACGGUAAUUACUUAGAAAGUCACGGCUAACUACGUGCCAGCAGCCGCGGUAAUACGUAGGGGGCAAGCGUUGUCCGGAUUUAUUGGGCGUAAAGCGAGGGCAGGCGGGUCCAAAA